Molecule: ribosomal RNA, 587 nt
Filed under: uncultured bacterium
Lineage: Bacteria
Description: bacterial SSU rRNA
Rfam family: Bacterial small subunit ribosomal RNA
Source: RNAcentral
UACGGGAGGCAGCAGUGAGGAAUAUUGGUCAAUGGGCGAGAGCCUGAACCAGCCAAGUAGCGUGAAGGAUGACUGCCCUAUGGGUUGUAAACUUCUUUUAUAAAGGAAUAAAGUCGGGUAUGCAUACCCGUUUGCAUGUACUUUAUGAAUAAGGAUCGGCUAACUCCGUGCCAGCAGCCGCGGUAAUACGGAGGAUCCGAGCGUUAUCCGGAUUUAUUGGGUUUAAAGGGAGCGUAGAUGGAUGUUUAAGUCAGUUGUGAAAGUUUGCGGCUCAACCGUAAAAUUGCAGUUGAUACUGGAUAUCUUGAGUGCAGUUGAGGCAGGCGGAAUUCGUGGUGUAGCGGUGAAAUGCUUAGAUAUCACGAAGAACUCCGAUUGCGAAGGCAGCCUGCUAAGCUGCAACUGACAUUGAGGCUCGAAAGUGUGGGUAUCAAACAGGAUUAGAUACCCUGGUAGUCCACACGGUAAACGAUGAAUACUCGCUGUUUGCGAUAUACUGCAAGCGGCCAAGCGAAAGCGUUAAGUAUUCCACCUGGGGAGUACGCCGGCAACGGUGAAACUCAAAGGAAUUGACGGGGGCCCGCACA